AGUGAACGCUGGCGGUAGGCCUAACACAUGCAAGUCGAACGGCAGCACAGUAAGAGCUUGCUCUUACGGGUGGCGAGUGGCGGACGGGUGAGGAAUACAUCGGAAUCUACUUUUUCGUGGGGGAUAACGUAGGGAAACUUACGCUAAUACCGCAUACGACCUACGGGUGAAAGCAGGGGAUCUUCGGACCUUGCGCGAUUGAAUGAGCCGAUGUCGGAUUAGCUAGUUGGCGGGGUAAAGGCCCACCAAGGCGACGAUCCGUAGCUGGUCUGAGAGGAUGAUCAGCCGCACUGGAACGGAGCCACGGUCCAGACUCCUACGGGAGGCAGCAGUGGGGAAUAUUGGACAAUGGGCGCAAGCCUGAUCCAGCCAUACCGCGUGGGUGAAGAAGGCCUUCGGGUUGUAAAGCCCUUUUGUUGGGAAAGAAAAGCAGCAGGUUAAUACCCCGCUGUUCUGACGGUACCCAAAGAAUAAGCACCGGCUAACUUCGUG
RNAcentral lists this ribosomal RNA (492 nucleotides) under uncultured bacterium. Its description in RNAcentral is "partial 16S ribosomal RNA". It matches the Rfam family "Bacterial small subunit ribosomal RNA", at positions 29 to 507 of the family's 1533-position model. The record is from RNAcentral.